GACGAACGCUGGCGGCGUGCCUAAUACAUGCAAGUAGAACGCUGAAGGAGGAGCUUGCUUCUCCGGAUGAGUUGAGAACGGGUGAGUAACGCGUAGGUAACCUGCCUGGUAGCGGGGGAUAACUAUUGGAAACGAUAGCUAAUACCGCAUAAGAGUAGAUGUCGCAUGACAUUUGCUUAAAAGGUGCAACUGCACCACUACCAGAUGGACCUGCGUUGUAUUAGCUAGUUGGUGAGGUAACGGCUCACCAAGGCAACGAUACAUAGCCGACCUGAGAGGGUGAUCGGCCACACUGGGACUGAGACACGGCCCAGACUCCUACGGGAGGCAGCAGUAGGGAAUCUUCGGCAAUGGACGGAAGUCUGACCGAGCAACGCCGCGUGAGUGAAGAAGGUUUUCGGAUCGUAAAGCUCUGUUGUAAGAGAAGAACGAGUGUGAGAGUGGAAAGUUCACACUGUGACGGUAUCUUACCAGAAAGGGACGGCUAACUACGUG
This 495-nucleotide ribosomal RNA is filed under the name uncultured bacterium. RNAcentral describes it as "partial 16S ribosomal RNA". It matches the Rfam family "Bacterial small subunit ribosomal RNA", at positions 28 to 507 of the family's 1533-position model. The record is from RNAcentral.